RNAcentral lists this long non-coding RNA (4116 nucleotides) under Mus musculus (house mouse). RNAcentral's name for it is "RIKEN cDNA 9930014A18 gene". Lineage: Eukaryota; Metazoa; Chordata; Mammalia; Rodentia; Muridae. The record is from RNAcentral.
ACUCCGGAUCCUAACUAGCCCUUUGACGUCCUUCAAUGUCUGCACCCCCAAGAACCUGCUAGGCUACCUUGGCGUGGAGGUGGCAGGUGAGCCUCCGGACUAGACUCACCUGCCGCAAGUCACUGCGGCUCGUCGGCCCCUCCCCCGCGCGCCUGCCCUGGGGUUCAGAUUACCUGCGCGGACUCUCUCCCCGAGAGGUAGAAGCCCUAGGGGACCGGGAGGGGCACCCUGCCGCACCCGAGACUUCUAGGGCGAGUUCGCAGGUGUGGGCUCCGCAGUGCCUCCUCUCCCAGCGCAGACCAAGGCGAAGCUGGGCUUCGGGGAAGGACGCAUUUCUCCCUCGCCGCCCCCCGCGGUUGUGUAGAGCCCCAAGACUUGAAGAUGGGGGGCAAUGCCUGUUCACGAUCGUUGCUGCACGACCCCUCACGCAGAUUUCCAGGAAGUUACUGUGGCCUUCACGACUUGACUGGAGGAGACAUGAGAUAAAUAAGCAGAAGAACAAAUAAAAGUGCCUGAGAUCAGGACUGUGAGGAACGUAAGACAACACCCCGAGAUUGAGUAGCUGUCCUGAAGGAGAGAGUGGCAGGGACAUCACUGGCCUACUUUACAUGAGAUGGCCAAGGAAGACCCCUCAAGAGCUGGAAUUUGGGCUGAGACAUAAAGAAAAGAAGGGCUGGCAUUGCUAUCCACUCCAGAAGGAAGAUGGGAACAGAAGAAGGAUGGAGCUGAGAGCGUUUAGAGAGUAGGAGAAAAGGAGAUUGAGAUGAGAGUACAGAAUGGGCAGGGCCGGGAGACAAGAAACCUCCUGAGCCAAAAAUAGAGUCAGUGAAGACACUGUACCAGUGGUGACUAUUGUACUUGCAAUUUUUUUUUUUAGAGAAUUUUGUUUAUUAAUCAUUCAACCACAGUAACCCAAAUUUCAUAUUCUCUGCACCUGCUCUAAGAAGAAAGAAAAUAAAAACAAGCUGUGUUCAAUGUUGGUGAGUUCCUGUCUAAGCCCCUGAGGCUGAACUGAGAUUUGACCUUUCUACCCCACGAGGCCUGAACUCUGACGUUGCAAGUGGGGUGAGAUAUUGGGUUGAAAAUUGUCUCUCCUGGAAUGUAUACAACAGGGGAUCAAAGAACUCUGUGGUUAAGCAAUCUAGACUUCUGUCUAUCCCCAGGCUGGGCCUCAUGCUCACCAACAUAAUAGCAUUUUCUCAAAUGCAGCUACCUCCAUAGCACCCUACAUCCCCAAACCCCUAGGCUGAUCGGUACCCAUUCUCCCUGAGGGUUUCUGGCCCUCUUGUAAAGUGAACAGUGGUAGAGUGGAGUGAUAACUUGAUGUUCCUUGUGUUUGCCAAUCAUGUGAUGCUAGAGUUGUCUCUUCUCCAUGCUGGGCCUGGUGUCUCAGCCUUUCAGGUAAUGCUGAUGCUCUCUGUCACGACAGAGAUGUUCAAGGAAAAUCUAUGUGCAGGAGCAUCCUGUAAAUCCUAAAGGCCAUGUGCACGCUGGGCAUGAUUCACAGCCCAUGAUGACUUUGUGUAAGGAGUAGGAGAGCCUCCUGCUGUGGGCCUCUUUGUAACAAAUCUCCGCACACUCCUGAUGUUUGUGUGUCCCCAGCCAGCGUGUUAAGUCCAAAGGACGUAUGAGUCCUACUCAUUAUCAAGGAAGAGGCUAGGCCCUGCUGCCUCCAAGUCUGGUUUUCACAAUGAAUCAAACAGAGUCGAAGGAGGGGUAGAGUACUCCCAUCCUGUGUGUGUUUGCUUGGCCUGUAACCAGCAAAUCUCAGUGACCAGCUAAUUUUGCUUUGCUAGGAACUUGAAUGGUUUUAGUCCUGAACACUUCUGGCCAAAGCUAAUGGCAAUAGUGGUCAUCCGACCUGGGUGCCUCCCUGUCUUGGUCAUUGCCCUCCACCCUGAACAAAGAGCUGUCAUGAGAACUGGGUUAGGUAUGUUACAAUGAUGGAAAAGAGUGGGUACAGAAAGCAGGGAAAAUUGAGUUUUCAGAGAUGCUGCUUUUAACAGAGACUAGGGCAGACGGUCAUCCAAUCAAAGAGACUAUUAGAUGAACACUUAUUCUGUCUUUUGUUCAUUUGUUAUAAGUUUCAUUCCCUGGGAUAGGUGAUACCCACUGUACCCAUGUCACCUUUGAGAGCUAUUCACCUGUAGCUCUGUUCCCAGCCUGCCAGACUUUGGCUACGAAAUCAAUGUAGGAGUGUUACACACUGACACAGUUCCAGAUUAAGGAGAGAGGUACCAGAGGCUGCCUAAUCAUGAGAUAUUUUUUUUCUUUCUUUCUGUUUCAUUUUUUCUUAGAUAACUAGGCCAGACUCUUUCCAACAGGAAGGGCAUGAGUUACUCUGCAGAUGGACAGAGACAAGACAGGGGGGCCCCUUAGCAGAAGCUAGAGCUGCACCUGCACCCUGGGACCUCAAGCCAUCCCACCUACUGCUCACACAUUUCUCUUGCUAUCAGGCUGUCUCGGAGAGAGAAGAGAUGGAGCCGGUCCUCCAUCAGGCCCACUGCUUCAGGGGGCCCUGUGAUCAUAUUGUUGAUGUUGCCGGAAAUGUGAUUUGUGCUCAGGAGUCUGAGAUUGUAGCUGGGCUCCCUCAGGAGCCUCAUGAAAAAUGCAUUUCACCAGGCGGUUCCAGGGGAGAGACUGGCUUAAAUUACAGCUCUAGGAAUCCAAAUAUUGGCAUAUCUGCAAAUCCAAAUGUGAGGGGGGGGGGGGACCUAAAUUCCAAGAAUCUCAUUCUGCACUUUUUGUGUGCAAAAGGGGUGAUGGGAUUCAGAAAGGGGAGAUUCAGAGGCUUCAGAAGAGAACACCCCAACUCUUCCACCCUUUUCUCUCCCCAUGCAUCCUGCAUGCCUUCAAAGAAACAGGCUGUGACACAGAGGAGAAGGUAGCAUUUGUUCAGUGUGACAGUUUUUAGUACAGGUGGGGCACAGGAGGGCUCAGCCAUCUCUGUCUGCCCCUCCCUGUACAGUUUUCUGGAUCUAGGAUGAAGGUUUCUUAUGGAUCAGUAACGGCACUACAGUCAUUCACAACCCAGCAGGGUGAGGGAUCCUGCGCCACUGUGAGAGAAGCCAAGUUAUUUCUCUGCUCAAAAUCCUCAUCUGCCUUAGAGAGGGGUGGGGUGUUCCUACUGUAGGCUCCAAGGUCAUUUCACUAGUUUUCUCCUCAUCACAAGACAAGAUGGCCCUUCAUUAUUCCCUUCCCCCAUGGCAAGUGCACAUCUCCCUCAGAAUCUAAACUUUUCUCAUUCCUUCUGCAUGGAGUACUUACUUGUCCCUGCAAAGCUCAUCAGACUCUGUUCAGUCUUCACUAAGAUACCAGCUUCCAGAUACAUAUUCCCUGACAACAUUAUUUUAAAAUCCCUAGACUUCUCAUACAUGCUCUUGCGUACAGCAGUGACUUAGAUGUGGACCCAAGGGGGUCUGUGGCUUGGUAUUGAAGAGAUGGUAUCUUUAAAUAGUGAAACUUCCUGGAAGAUGGUUAGAUCAUUGGUGACACUUCCAGUGGAAGGAAUUGUGAUAAUUCUAGAUUCCUGAUUUGUUCCCAAGAGAGUGAGUUGUUAUAAGAGCAAGCCUGAUUGGCUUCCUGUCUGAUCAUGUGACCUCUCCCCUGCACGUGCUACAGCUAUAGUGGUGGCAUCCAUCACAAGGCAUGAGUCAAGCAGAAGCUGGGACCAUGGUCUUUAUCCUGUAAAAUGGAGUAAAUAAACCUUUUUCUUUGGAAGUACCCAGCCUUAGAUGUUUUGUUACAGCCAUGGAAAUAGAUGAUCAUAACCCAUUUCUGUUCUGUUAUAUAUUAUUUAAACUAUGUAUUUAUUUCCUUUUCUUAUUUUGUAUAAGUUAGUAACUUGAUUUGGUUGUCAUAGCUCAUAUAUUAUAAGAUCUGAAUUAUAGUUGAUUGAAUAAUUGACAGUAUCUUUAUGGGGCAUCUCUAUCCCUCUUCACAAUAUAAUUUCUCUUUAAUUUACAGGGGGACUAUCAAGCUCUAAAAUUUAAGUAACUGCCUAUAUUGUAACCAGCACAAUAGUCCAGAAAUCUGGGCUUCAGACAGGUCUUUGAACUGGACUUGGGUGCAUCAAGAAAUAUAACCUUGUGCUACCUUGCAUGGUAUCUACCAGUC